CUAGUGCUUCAAUCUAUUCCACUGCAACUUCAAGGAGAUAAGAUUUGCCAUCUUCAGUCUGGCUCACUGCAACUUCAGGAGGAUAAGACUUGCCUAUUUAGUCCGCUCCACUGCAACUGCAGGGAGAUAAGACUAGAUGUGAUCUGUUUUCUGCAACUUCAGAGAGAUAAGAUCUAAGGUUUUAAUCCGCUCCACUGCAACUUCAGGAAGAUAGGAUUAUCGGCUUUAAUCUGCUCCACUGCAACUUCAGGAAGAUAAGACUUACCAUCUUCAGUCCGC
RNAcentral lists this long non-coding RNA (279 nucleotides) under Gossypium raimondii (Peruvian cotton). RNAcentral describes it as "long non-coding RNA (GRAI_LNC002025)". The record is from RNAcentral. Lineage: Eukaryota; Viridiplantae; Streptophyta; Magnoliopsida; Malvales; Malvaceae.